This is a non-coding RNA of Cyanistes caeruleus (blue tit), 3148 nucleotides long. The record is from RefSeq and is a predicted model, not a curated record. NCBI's taxonomy places the organism in Eukaryota, Metazoa, Chordata, Aves, Passeriformes, Paridae.
ACCAGUUUAGAGCCUGACCUGGUAACAGUUUUUGUUCCCAGCUUCAAUGGUGUAAUUUGUAUUUAUCUCUGUUUUUAAAAGUAAUAUGUUUCAGUUUGAGUGAGACAGUUUAAUACAAAUCCCACAGUGCAGCUUUCACUCCUGUGGGAAUAGGGGUAGUGGUGUGAGUUAGCAGGAGGUCAGCUUUUUCAUCUGCUACACCCUUCCUGAAUGACCUCGGGCAGGCCCUUCAGUCUCUUUAUGCCCCAGUCUGUCUGGCUGUGCAGACAAGAGAGGAAGGCACUGCCCCCCCUCACAGCCCUUGCUCUUUCACAGUGAGAGAAGAUACUUCUUGUGCAGAGAUCCCCUUCUGCCUGUGUUUGGAUGUAAUGGUCUGACCAUGAGCUCUAGAAACAACUGACUGUAACUGAUACUAAUAACAACACUAACACUCUGUGUACUUUUCAGUAUGCCUGCAUAAGGCAACAUCUGUGUGUGUUUAGAUAAGCUGGAAGCAGCUGGAUUUGGCCUCUGCACUGGCUGCUGUGAUCAUAGUGCAGGUCUCUGCUGGUCAGUGUGUGUGCCGGUGGGGAUGGCUGGGAACACCACUCUGUGUACUUUGCAUUCUCUAUAUUCAGUGCCUGCUUUUGGCACGCUCAUCUCUCUCACUUAUGAGUGAGUGGGUGAGGAAGGAGAGGGCUGGGCGGAGCUGACUCCUUCACAGAUGAACCAUAAGGAGCACAGGAGCUGAAACACAAUCUCCUCCUCCUUUCCCGCACUGUUUCACGGACAGCCUUGCUCACAGCUGGGAGGAGGACAGCCUCACCAGCAGCCUGAGAAGGAGUGAGGAGAAGGGAAGUUUUGUGCUCUUCACAUUGAAGGCAAAACUUCUUUGCAUAAACUCUGCUAACAGAAUCUGGCUUGCAAAACUUGAAAUGUGAGGAUUUGUUUAGAGAAAUGAAGUCCAUCAGGCUGUUCCUGCAUAUGCACUUGUAAAGACUUCCUGUUGGAUGAGUAAAGAGGCCCAAGAGUGCUGUUUCCAGCUUAUUUUACACCUGGUGCUAUACAGCUGAUACAGGUUAUUAACAUCCUGCAGCAAGUCAUCACUUCAGCCUAAAGAUUUGUGGAAGAAAUAAACUCUACAUGAAAACUGAAUGUAAUUAAGUCUUACAUUCAGGACCCUGAUGAGUAAUACACAGCGAGAAGUAGAAGAUGGCAAAUUUCACAGAGAAUGUGACUGAGAAGUGCAAUAUUAAUCAUGAUAUCCACGAGACAUUAUCCCCUGUGGUGUACAUAUUUGUUUUUAUAUUAGGCUUGCCAGCUAACUGCCUGUCACUGUACUAUGGGUAUUUACAGAUCAAAGCUAAAAAUGAAUUAGGUAUCUACCUUUGCAAUUUGACUAUAGCGGACCUGCUGUACAUAUUUUCUUUGCCUUUUUGGCUUCAGUAUGCUUUACAGCAUGACAACUGGACCUAUGACGAGCUGCUGUGCAAAGUUUGUGGCAUCAUCCUGUAUGAGAAUAUCUACAUCAGUGUGGGCUUCCUGUGCUGCAUCUCCAUCGAUCGCUACCUGGCUGUAGUGCACCCCUUUCGGUUUCAGCGCUUUCGGACCAUGAAGGCUGCUGCCAUUGUGAGCAUCAUUAUCUGGGCCAAAGAAAUUAUGACAUGCUGCUUUGUCUUCACACACGGGGAGAUCAGUAUGGAUGCUGAGAGCCACUUGGUGUGCUUUGAGCAUUACCCCAUCAAGAAAUGGGAGCACAAUGUCAAUUACUACCGCUUCUCUGCUGGCUUCCUUUUCCCCUUCUUUCUGCUGGCCUUUUCCUACUGUGGGAUUUUACGAGUUGUCCACAAGAGUCCCGGCACCCAAAAGAAGAAGAAAAUCCAAAUUAAAAGAUUGGUUUCAAGCACUGUUUGCAUAUUUUUAGUCUGCUUUGGACCAUACCACAUCCUACUCGUGGUUCGUAGCUUGUUGGAGAACAACUGCUCAUUUGCUGAGAAAAUAUUUAAUGUUUACCAUAUUUCUCUCCUGUUAACUACUUUUAACUGUGUUGCUGACCCAGUGUUGUACUGUUUUUCCAGUGAAAGCACUUACCAGAACUUUGUCAAGAUGAGAGACUCUUGUCUAACGUGUUUAGGCCAUCAGAGUACUGAGACGAAGGAAUCCUAUCCACUGAACACUACUGAACCUCCCAACAGAACACAGCAUGAGCAACAGCCAGGGUUAUUACAAAUACCUCUUGAUGGUGCUGGAAUGAAGGACUGCUUCACAACUGGUGUAGACAGCCUAUAGCAUUAAUCAAAAUUACCUUAAUCCUACAUCUGCAGCUAUGGUCGUAUUUAUGUAUCUGUCUGAAUUAUUCAUGUAUUACAACAGUGUGACCUCCCAAAAGCUUAUGAGCAAUGCUGCAGAGUGAAGUUGUUUCUGGAGGUGCUCGGACCCUGGAAAUAGUGAGGAAAGUAUGUGCUAGGUCAUUUCAGUUAUAAUCACACAUCUGUUGCUGUGCUACCACUUAAAACCUGCUUGUCUUGAUGACUGCAUUGACUGGAAUAAGCCAAUACUCAUGGUGUGUAGUUCUGGUGAACUCAUCUUUAGCUGCCUUCUGUUUGCCCCUGUAGCAUCUAGAGCAAGGAAUUCUCUUCAAACUGUUAUCAUCUGUUGAAAAGGUAUGAGACAGGAAAAAUUAAAUGUCCCCAUAUAUACUUUUAAAAAGAAAAAGCCCAACAAAACACUUCUGCAACAUCUCUGUAACUCUCCGAAAUAACAACUUCUGCCAGUUUCAAAGCCUGCAGAGACCAUGCCAGAACCAGAUUCCUAAAACAAUCAGUCCAUAGUGCGAGUUGUUAUGGCAGAACAUGCACAAAAGGCUCAGCACCUUUAUUUGUUAUUUGACUGUUGAAUCUCAGACUGUUAAACCUCAUCGUAAGGCUCCGAGAGAAUUCUGGAAGUAUGAGACUCUGGGCUCCAAGGGGUGUCAGUAACUUGGUUUGUUGACUUGGAAGAGAACAAGAGGUAAAGCACCAGUGCUCUAGAGAUGGUGUCAAAUGUACCCACCCCUCUCUGCUGCAAGGGCUGACAGCUGGCACAACUUCAGUCCUGACACUCACCUGGAGUUAAGGUAAAAUCACAGCUUUAAAUGACAAAUGCUGGUUCACCAUUUAUUGUGUACUCU